Molecule: long non-coding RNA, 1753 nt
Organism: Nerophis ophidion (straightnose pipefish)
Lineage: Eukaryota; Metazoa; Chordata; Actinopteri; Syngnathiformes; Syngnathidae
Exons: 3
Source: RefSeq, a predicted model, not a curated record
UCCAAAGGAUGAGGUCACCUUCCUGCACCAUUCCAGCCUGGACCAGACUACCCUGGCAAACACACAGCAUCUAGUGGUGGUCGGAUUAACCCACUUCCACGUCACUUUAGCUGGUGUCAUGCAUGCAGAGGGACGUGCAAUUGGAUUAUAACUCUUCAUGCCCUAAAAGUGCGCGCUGUCGACGGAGACAAAGAAGCUUGUUUUGAUCCACGAUGGCGGUUCUCGCGGCAUCGUGGCAUCGAGAGCGCAGUCUCCUCCUGAUCGCUGGCUACGAAUGACGUCACCCUGGGCCAGGUGGGAGGGAGGGGAAAGGGGCGUGGUCAGCGCCAGCCGGGCACAGUGAUUGACAGUUCAUUAAAGGUACACCGCGGUUUAUUUAAGGACACCACGUGAUCAUUAAUGGUAGAUUUGAAAGAGUGCUUUGUUCCAUAAACCUUAUCUUGUGUUUGAAGUGUUUUAGGACAAAAUUCAUUGUCGAUAUUUGAAUUAUAUAUUGAUUGAUUGAAACUUUUAUUAGUAGAUUGCACAGUACAGUACAUAUUCCGUACUAUUGACCACUAAAUGGUAACACCCCAAUAAGUUUUUCAACUUGUUUAAGUCGGGGUCCACGUAAAUAAAUUCAUGGUAAAAAAUAAAAAAAAGUAUUUAAUUGCCGCCGGGGCGUUAAUGAAUUUAAAACCUCUUCUCACUCCUGCGCUUACCAAAGGCAUGCGGUAAAAGUAAGCAUGCGCCAAUUAUUUUAAAACCUCUUCUCACUCCGGCACUUACCAAAGGUAUGCAGUAAAAAUUUGAAUGUGAUGUAAGCUUGGACUUUAAAUCCUACUGAAUAGCUCUUAAUCUUCUUCCCUUUAUGCGAUUUCAAAUUACCGGUAUUGAAACCAGCCUCCUUCAUUUUGAAAAUGAUGACAGGGGAAGUGUCACUCGUGACGUCACGAGUUUGACCAGGCGGUAAUACUAAGCAUGCGUUAAUUAUUUUGGGAAGCGAGUUUGACCCGGCAGUAAUUCAAGGCAGGCACAUACUAUAUGCCCUGUGGCAAUUCAAGGAAAUACGGUAUAUAUAAACUAAAAUGUGAAAAAAACUCAUGUGUUGCCCAUUUGGUGAAAAAAAUAAAAGGUAAAUAAAGAGAGUUUAUGGACAUGUUCUACGGUCAAACCUCAGCAAGAAAUCAACGUGAUGAUUUUGCUGGAGUGGCGCCUCAACUUACGAGCUUAGUUGGUUGUGUGGCGGAGCUCUUAAGUCGAAGCACUUGUGUCUCAAAUCAACGUCGCCCAUUUAAAAAUAAAUUUGAACGGUGCACAAUUUUAACAUGAAAAAGGACCUUUAUUUUACAAAAAAAACAAAGCACAAUUGGAUGUGCUACAAACAACUACAGUAGUUUUAUGGAGUAAUGCAAUGAUAGUAUGCAGCAUUUAUCUUGGAGAGUGGUCUUUAACGCCGUCUCCUUCCAACACACCAUCAGCGGCUUCUUCAUAUUUUCAUGAGUAAAUGUCCGUUGUUUGGAUAUUAUUUAAAGGUGCCGUAUGUAAUAAUGUGGCCAGAAAUGGUACUGCAAUCAUGGUCAAAAUUCUGUAGUCCCCUCCCUUGCUCCGUGACUGGGGUUGCCAGAUAUGCAGCUGAAUCCAGCUCGAUCAACUGGGCUACUCCAAGGAACUUCAAACUUCCACUGCAUCUCACUAGGGGUUGAGGUGCUGGGACCAUAAUAGCUGAAUAGAAAGGGUUUUGUCAAUAACGAAUCUCUAACCAUCACAUUUU